GUUUUUAGCCGACGCUACUUUACUGAUUUUGAGAUUCUAGCUCUAGUAGACUUAUGUAAUUUAUUUUUCUAGCUUGGAGAUGUCCCUGAGGGAUUAUGUUGGCUCUUUUUAGCUAAUAAGGGGGUAUGGAUAGGCUGCCCUGAAGCAGCUGUUAGUUGUAUGGUGUAGUUUAAGUUGGAGCAGUGUUGUGAAGGGGUGUUUUAGGCGAC
Pelobates cultripes (western spadefoot toad) is the source of this 209-nucleotide non-coding RNA. Lineage: Eukaryota; Metazoa; Chordata; Amphibia; Anura; Pelobatidae. The record is from the annotation of a GenBank genome assembly.